ACGCUCGACACCUACGGGAGGAGCAGUGGGGAAUAUUGCACAAUGGGGGAAACCCUGAUGCAGCAACGCCGCGUGAAGGAAGACGGUUUUCGGAUUGUAAACUUCUGUUCUUAGUGAAGAUAGUGACGGUAGCUAAGGAGCAAGCCACGGCUAACUACGUGCCAACAGCCGCGGUAAUCUGAGCGGGCUGGCAAGGC
Molecule: ribosomal RNA, 197 nt
Filed under: uncultured bacterium
Lineage: Bacteria
Description: partial 16S ribosomal RNA
Rfam family: Bacterial small subunit ribosomal RNA
Source: RNAcentral